Molecule: ribosomal RNA, 250 nt
Filed under: uncultured bacterium
Lineage: Bacteria
Description: partial 16S ribosomal RNA
Rfam family: Bacterial small subunit ribosomal RNA
Source: RNAcentral
CAUGCCGUAAACGAUGAGUGCUAAGUGUUAGGGGGUUUCCGCCCCUUAGUGCUGCAGCUAACGCAUUAAGCACUCCGCCUGGGGAGUACGAUCGCAAGGUUGAAACUCAAAGGAAUUGACGGGGGCCCGCACAAGCGGUGGAUUAUGUGGUUUAAUUCGAAGCAACGCGAAGAACCUUACCAGGGCUUGACAUCCUACUAACGAAGUAGAGAUACAUCAGGUGCCCUUCGGGGAAAGUAGAGACAGGUGG